This 670-nucleotide long non-coding RNA is filed under the name Parus major (Great Tit). Its description in RNAcentral is "lncRNA (ENSPMJG00000002221.1)". Lineage: Eukaryota; Metazoa; Chordata; Aves; Passeriformes; Paridae. The record is from RNAcentral.
GUCCCCAGGUGUGUCCAGGUGUGUCCAGGUGUAUCUCAGGUGUAUCUCAGGUGUCCCCAGGUGUGUCCAGGUGUCCCCAGGUGUAUCUCAGGUGUCCCCAGGUGUGUCCAGGUGUGUCCAGGUGUACCUUCUGGCCGAUGGCAGACACCAGGUAGCCGUGACAGUGACACAGGGCUGUCACCGGUCCCUUCUGCUCCUUCUCGUAGAGCACCUUGAACUUGUUCUUGGUGAGCGGCUGUCCCGGCUCCGGAACCACCUCGAUNUGUCAUUGUCACCAUGUCAUUGUCACUGGCAUUGUCACCGUGUCAUUGUCACCAGUAGUGUCACCGUGUCAUUGUCACAGUGUCACUGCCAUCACCAUUGCCGCCGUCGUCUUUGUGUCAUUGUCACCGUCACUGUCAGUAUCACUGUCACCAUCGCACCACUGUCACCGUGUCAUUGUCACCGUCAUGUCAUUGUCAUUGUCACCAUCACUGUCAGUAUCACUGUCACCAUCACACCACUGUCACCGUGUUGUUGUCAUCAUCAUGUCAUUGUCAUUGUCACCGUCACUGUCAUUGUCACCACCACCACCAUUGUCAUUGUCACUGUGUCACUGUCAUUGUCACAUCAUUGUCACAGUGAUGAUGACAACCGUGACAUGUCAUGACAAUGACAAUGACAGUCAUCC